GAAGAAGAAGAAGAAGAAGAAGACUGACUUUCACACAGCUGAAAGCUAAGUUCCAAAAUGUGGGUCAGAACUUUGCCCACAACUUGGAGUCGACGAAUGAUCCAGUUGCAGGCAGCGCGAGUCACGUGAAGGAGUGGUUUGAUCAAUACAAGGACUUCAAUCCGGGCAAUGUGGAUUCUUUCAGCGUUACGGGAGGAGUCGAUGUUACUGAUUUUACGCAGCACACACCUGGCGCGUCGGACGGGAACGGAAAAUCGGAGAGCAGCGGCGGCAGCGGGACACUAUGGAUAAUACUGGCGUGUGGCCUCCUGGGUAUUCUCGCUGCUACUGGUGUAGCCAUUGGAUAUUUGUACGCGAACUCAGGCACUGCCGCUUUAUCUGUAACUCAGUGAGAACGUUCCUGUCUUACUAUCUGCUACAAGAUUCAGGAGCCUAGCGGACUGUUUAUACAUCUAUAGUAACGUGUAUUUGUUAUUCCUGUGGUUCGGCCUCUAUUAAAUCUAUUAUUAGUAACUAUA
Molecule: long non-coding RNA, 518 nt
Organism: Rhipicephalus sanguineus (brown dog tick)
Lineage: Eukaryota; Metazoa; Arthropoda; Arachnida; Ixodida; Ixodidae
Exons: 3
Source: RefSeq, a predicted model, not a curated record